GUGCCAGGGCAAAGAAGCGUGUGGGAGGAGCUUUUUGGAGUGUAACCACUUUUAUUAGGGAAGAAGAACUGACGGUACCUAAUGAAUCAGCAUCGGCUAACUCCGUGCCAGCAGCCGCGGUAAUACGGGGGAUGCAAGCGUUAUCCGGAAUUAUUGGGCGUAAAGCGUCCGUAGGUGGCUUAUCAAGUCUGUUGUCAAAGCGUGCGGCUCAACCGCAUACGGGCGAUGGAAACUGAUGAGCUAGAGUGCGAUAGGGGUCAGGGGAAUUCCCGGUGUAGCGGUGAAAUGCGUAGAUAUCGGGAAGAACACCAGUGGCGAAAGCGCCUGACUGGGUCUGCACUGACACUGAGGGACGAAAGCUAGGGGAGCGAAAGGGAUUAGAUACCCCUGUAGUC
Molecule: ribosomal RNA, 395 nt
Filed under: Leptolyngbya sp. Djaks_10
Lineage: Bacteria; Bacillati; Cyanobacteriota; Cyanophyceae; Leptolyngbyales; Leptolyngbyaceae
Description: bacterial SSU rRNA
Rfam family: Bacterial small subunit ribosomal RNA
Source: RNAcentral